CUGCUAGCGGUGAGAUCACCGGUCGUGGGACCGGAGACGGAGGUUCGAUUCCUUCGCUGCCGA
Molecule: transfer RNA, 63 nt
Filed under: Streptomyces fulvorobeus
Lineage: Bacteria; Bacillati; Actinomycetota; Actinomycetes; Kitasatosporales; Streptomycetaceae
Description: tRNA-Ser
Source: RNAcentral